GGACAGGUGGCCGAGCGGUUGAAGGCGCACGCCUGGAAAGUGUGUAAACGUUAAUAGCGUUUCGAGGGUUCGAAUCCCUCCCUGUCCGCCA
RNAcentral lists this transfer RNA (91 nucleotides) under Rhizomicrobium palustre. RNAcentral's name for it is "tRNA-Ser". It matches the Rfam family "tRNA". From Rfam's summary of the family: Transfer RNA (tRNA) molecules are approximately 80 nucleotides in length. Their secondary structure includes four short double-helical elements and three loops (D, anti-codon, and T loops). Further hydrogen bonds mediate the characteristic L-shaped molecular structure. tRNAs have two regions of fundamental functional importance: the anti-codon, which is responsible for specific mRNA codon recognition, and the 3' end, to which the tRNAs corresponding amino acid is attached (by aminoacyl-tRNA synthetases). tRNAs cope with the degeneracy of the genetic code in two manners: having more than one tRNA (with a specific anti-codon) for a particular amino acid; and 'wobble' base-pairing, i.e. permitting non-standard base-pairing at the 3rd anti-codon position. Lineage: Bacteria; Pseudomonadati; Pseudomonadota; Alphaproteobacteria; Micropepsales; Micropepsaceae. The record is from RNAcentral.